GAUUGUAGUCUGCAACCCGACUACAUGAAGCUGGAAUCGCUAGUAAUCGCGAAUCAGAAUGUCGCGGUGAAUACGUUCCCGGGGUCUUGUACACACCGCCCGUCACACCAUGGGAGUUGGAAAUGCCCGAAGCCGGUGACCGAACCUUAGGGACGGAGCCGUCGAAGGUGGAGCCAAUGACUGGGGUGAAGUCGUAACAAGGUAGC
RNAcentral lists this ribosomal RNA (206 nucleotides) under uncultured bacterium. RNAcentral describes it as "partial 16S ribosomal RNA". It matches the Rfam family "Bacterial small subunit ribosomal RNA", at positions 1296 to 1500 of the family's 1533-position model. The record is from RNAcentral.